GAAGUCUCUUUCUCAGUACGUGGGUCACAUCUUUGGAAAGCUCAUUAUAUCUGACAGAGCACAAAGUGCCAAUCUCUUUGACACGACUAUGGAGUACCUCUGCCUUCUCAGCAUUGACAAGGCCCACAACAAAGAUUACACUAUCUUCACCUAAUGAAAACUAAGCAUAUAGGAUUUGCUAAACCGAUAAUUAUUACGCAUGUAAUUCACGCGAGGCGAUUUUUUCUCUCCUUUCUUCUCAGUCUCUUCUUCGUCGAGUUUUUCAGCGGUUCCCUCCGGUGAUGCCGGCACUGUGAGGGAACCCGCGUUUUUCUUCUUCUUUUGAUCCCCGUCUGCUCUUCAAUCGUGGGAAAGAGGGCUUCUCCGUCGAUUCUGGGAAGAGAUCUGAGUGACAAAGGUGAAUCUGGCUCCCGUCUGCGGCGGCUAGUGUGUUCCAGAUCUGGGCUUUGAGGACGUGGUCCGGUGACGGAAUCUUACUCGUUUGUUCAGGCGGUGGUGGCUGGCGUUUGACGCGUCGGUGUGGCGAAGCCUUGGCCUUGGGUCAGAGUUGGGUGAGUGGGUUUGCGGAGGUUUUUGUCGGAUGUGGCUGACUGUGGUAGCGGAGCCGCCCAGGGACAGUGGCAAAGCAAAGUGGCAGGUCUUUCCCGGCUUGUCUCCUUCCCACCUUACCCCUCGUCUCAUCUGUGGUUGGGGUGAGCUGUGCGGCGUCUUCGUCUUCGUCAGAGUUCAAGAGAUUGUGGUAGCCUCGGUUUCCCAAAUCUCUUACGGUGGUUCUGGGCCGUUCUGGGCUAGAUCGAAGGUUCCUGGCUGCAUCGGAGGUUUUCUGUUCUGGUGCCUUUCGUCGGAGGUCCUGAUCGGACGGAGGGGAGAGUCGACGGCGAGAGUUCUUCCUAACGGCGGACGCGUUGUUUUAGGGUUUUCAUUUGGUUUGAUUCCGGUUUGUUUUUUUUGUUUGGUUCGCUUUUUUCAAUUUCUUUUGUUUCUGGUUAGCCCGAUUUUCCAGACCCAUUCGGAUUUAGUUUGGGUUUGUAAUCCGGUUUAUUAAUAUAAUAUUAAAAAAAAAAACUAAGCAUAUAAAUAUAGGCAAUAAAAACGAGAGACGCUGUUACUAUUGAAUAAUUAGAUUAUACGUAUAGGUUAUGUCAAACUACAUGCUUGAAUAAUUAGAUUAUACGUCUUCAAGUCACCAGAUUCCAGCCAGAUUACUCCUUGUCAGCAAUCCUGCCAAACAUAUGAACAUACCCAAAAAGAUAAGCACACUAGGAAAUGUAGAGAGAGAAAGAGAUUGAGAUUGUUCAUGGGUUAUUAUUAGUUUACCUGAGCUCUGACAACUUUUGAUGAGCUUCCUC
This 1349-nucleotide long non-coding RNA is filed under the name Eutrema salsugineum. Its description in RNAcentral is "long non-coding RNA (ESAL_LNC001428)". Lineage: Eukaryota; Viridiplantae; Streptophyta; Magnoliopsida; Brassicales; Brassicaceae. The record is from RNAcentral.